RNAcentral lists this long non-coding RNA (1053 nucleotides) under Monodelphis domestica (gray short-tailed opossum). RNAcentral describes it as "lncRNA (ENSMODG00000045288.1)". Lineage: Eukaryota; Metazoa; Chordata; Mammalia; Didelphimorphia; Didelphidae. The record is from RNAcentral.
ACACCUCAUCAUUCUGACUGCUCUCUUCAUCACAAAAAAGAUAUUUCGAUCAGAAAGGAAAAUCCAGUUAGCCAAUCUGACUUGAAAUUCUAGAGGAGGGGCAGCUAGAUAGUAUAGUGGAUAGAGCACCAGACCUAGAGUCAAGAGGAGCUGGGUUCAAAUCUGGUCUCAGACACAUCCUGGCUGUGUGAACCUGGGCAAGUCACUUAACCCCAAUUGCUUAUUUCUUAACCACUCUUCUGCCUUGGAAUCUAUACUUGUUACUAAUUCUAAGAUAGAAAGUAAGGGCUUAAAAAUAAAGUCAAGGGGAAAGAUGUUUAUUUGAGUGCCUCACCUAUAGAAGAUGGUUUUUGAUAUGAGACUUGAAGGAAAUGAAUGAUUCUAAGAAGUAGGUGUGAGGAAGAAUGGUAUUCGGUGGCUAACACACAGUAGAACUUUAUUGCUUUUUGAACUGAAUUGAUAGAAUCUAUAGAAAGUUGAUGGUCAUUUAAUUUUUUCCAGGACAGCAACAGUGGAGAAAAAAAUAGAAACAGUAUUGAAGGUUGGUUUGUGGUUGCAACUUUUCAAUUCCACGUUGUAGAAAUGCACAAAAGAUCAUGUAGACCUUGUGUUACUGUUACUGAAGAGGGGAAAAAAAAAAGGUCUUGAAAAAUCCCCUGCAGUAUUGAAACCUGCAGAAUAGCAAAUUUUCAUUUCCUUAGAAUUUAUCUGUCCAUUUCUCUCCUCUCAUAUUUGAAGUGAUGUUUUUUUGUGUGUAUUCUGUUUGCCCUUUGUAGUGAGGGAAGAGGAAAUGGAACAAUCAAGGACAGUCAGAUUAGCCUGACCUUUUGGCCCCAUGACUUAUUUGCCAUUUGGUGUCUAUUUGGAAAUGUUUGCUCUUGGAGAGAAGGCCCAUAAUCUUAAGGAAGGAAUGAAAGAAGUAAGUAAAGAAGGAAAAAGACAUCUCAAUCAAUAACUGAGACAACUCCAUCCUGAGCCUGAUUCAAUGAUUGGUAAGUCUUUAUCUGAUUCUCCAUAUCAUUAGAAGGCCCAGUCACACUGCUUUCAGUCUAC